This 396-nucleotide ribosomal RNA is filed under the name uncultured soil bacterium. RNAcentral's name for it is "bacterial SSU rRNA". It matches the Rfam family "Bacterial small subunit ribosomal RNA", at positions 26 to 405 of the family's 1533-position model. The record is from RNAcentral.
AGAUUGAACGCUGGCGGCAUGCCUUACACAUGCAAGUCGAACGGCAGCGCGGACUUCGGUCUGGCGGCGAGUGGCGAACGGGUGAGUAAUAUAUCGGAACGUGCCCAGUAGCGGGGGAUAACUACGCGAAAGCGUGGCUAAUACCGCAUACGCCCGUACGGGGGAAAGGGGGGGAUUCUUCGGAACCUCUCACUAUUGGAGCGGCCGAUAUCAGAUUAGCUAGUUGGUAGAGGUAAAGGCUCACCAAGGCGACGAUCUGUAGCUGGUUUGAGAGGACGACCAGCCACACUGGGACUGAGACACGGCCCGAGACUCCGUACGGGAGGCAGCAGGUAGGGGUAAUUUCGGACUAAGUAGGGGGAAACCCUGGACUCCGAGGUACCACUCCCGCGGUGU